Molecule: long non-coding RNA, 1081 nt
Filed under: Oryctolagus cuniculus (rabbit)
Lineage: Eukaryota; Metazoa; Chordata; Mammalia; Lagomorpha; Leporidae
Description: lncRNA (ENSOCUG00000037212.1)
Source: RNAcentral
AAGCCCAGGGUCUUCCCUUUUUUGGUUUCCUGUUUCACCCCAAAAGUUUUUCUCUCAGGUGUCCCCCCCAUGAAGCCUUUGGCCAUGAUGAGAUGAGGCCAGGCAGCCCUCGCCAGAGCUGGCACCAGGCUCUCUGAACUGUCAACCUCCAAAACUGUGAAUUCAAUAAGCACUCGGCCUGGGGUAGUUUGCAACAGUAACAGGAAAUGGACUCCUAAGCUCCAAGUGAGCUUCGCCACCAUUUACAGCCCUUCACCACCCCUGAGGCUCCAUCCUCAGUGACACAGAAGCCUGAAUUGCUGGGACAGGGUCUCCCAUGCGCCCUCCGAGGCCCCUUUGUCAACCCCCAGUCCAGCAUGGGGACACGCUCAGGUCACACACACCCCACGGGCUGGAGUCCACGUGGGCAGCUGGUGAGUGAGCCCUUGACCUGGACGCACCACUUUCCUUGGCUAGCCCUGGGGCUCCUGGCCUGCUCUUCUCAUACGGGGAAAUCCCUCACACCUUGGCCAAGGACCUGUUAGUCAGCCAGCAGCCUUGCAUUCAUUGUGUUAGGUGCCAACAGGCUGCAUGUUGGACGACAAGGCUCUCAACCUGGAAGCCCUUCCCAAGCCCCACUGCGUGCACGGGCAGUGCACACAGGCCCCUGGCACUGGGGCACUCAGAAGCCAGCAGUGCGCCCAGGAGCAGGGACAACAGAAGAGAAAGAGUGACAGCCGAAAUCCUGCGUCCCUCGAGGUGUGCAUGGGAUUGAGGCUGGUUGGAUGACACACACCCCGUGCCAGAAGAACUGGAAAUUCAAAAGGGAAUCGGGAGGAGUGAAUGGUAACCUCUGCCUUCGCAGCAGAACCCGAACACCCAGCACCUGCCGGGCAGAGGUUGAUCCCCGAGGCGCAGAAACCUGAGCACGUUUCCAGGGCGAAGGAGAACACAGAGUUGUAAAACAAAACACGAUGAAGAGGGAGGAAACACUUAAACCUUCCUCCACCAGACUAAGGGUUAAUGUCCACAAUAUAUCAACAGCCCUUAGGAAUUAAUAAGCAAAGGGCAGGCGGCCCAGUUUAAAAAAAAACUUCGUCAA